GAYSAACGCAUGGCGGCGCGCCUAACACAUGCAAGUCGAACGGAGCGCAUGAGAAGAUCUCUUCGGAGUGAUUUUUGUGUUGCUUAGUGGCGAACGGGKGAKUAACACGUGAAUAACCUACCUCUGAGUGGGGGACAACAUCCGGAAACGGAUGCUAAUACCGCAUAAGACCACARCCGGACAUCCGGCGGGGGCCAAAGGAGCAAUUCGCUCGGAGAUGGAUUCSCGUCUGAUUARAUAGUUGGCGGGGUAACGGCCCACCAAGUCKACGAUCAGUAGCCGGACUGAGAGGUUGAACGGCCACAUUGGGACUGAGACACKGCCCAUACUCCUACGGGAGGCAGCAKUGGKGAAUAUUGCACWAUGGGCGAAAGCCUGAUGCAGCGACGCCGCGUGAGGGAAGAAGGUUUUCGGAUUGUAAACCUCUGUCUUCGGGGACGAAACAAAUGACGGUACCCGAGGAGGAAGCCACGGCUAACUACRUGCCAGCAGCCGCGGUAAAACGUAGGUGGCAAGCGUUGUCCGGAAUUACUGGGUGUAAAGGGAGCGCAGGYGSGACGGCAAKUUGAAUGUGAAAACUAUGGGCUCAACCCAUAGAUUGCGUUCAAAACUGCUGUUCUUGAGUGAUGKAGAGGCAGGCGGAAUUCCCGGUGUAGCRGUGCCAAUGCCUANAUAUCGGGANGAACACCAGUGGCGAANGCGGCCUGCUGKACAUUUACUGACGCUGAGGCUCGAAAGUGUGGGGGAGCAAACUGGUAUUAGUAUACCCUGGUUAUUCCACACCGUAAACGAUGAUUACUACGUGUGGGGGGAUANACCCCCCUCCGUNCCGCAGCUAACGCAAUAAGUAAUCCACCUGGGGAGUACGGUCGCAAGACUGAAACUCAAAGGAAUUGACGGGGGCCCGCACAAGCAGUGGAGUAUGUGGUUUAAUUCGACGCAACGCGAAGAACCUUACCAGGUCUUGACAUCCCUUGCAUAGCCUAGAGAUAGGUGAAGCCCUUCGGGGCAAGGAGACAGGUGGUGCAUGGUUGUCGUCAGCUCGUGUCGUGAGAUGUUGGGUUAAGUCCCGCAACGAGCGUAACCCUUAUCGUUAGUUACUACGCAAGAGGACUCUAGCGAGACUGCCGUUGACAAAACGGAGGAAGGUGGGGAUGACGUCAAAUCAUCAUGCCCUUUAUGACCUGGGCUACACACGUACUACAAUGGCCGUUAACAGAGAGAAGCGAAAGAGCGAUCUGGAGCAAAACUCAGAAAAACGGUCUCAGUUCGGAUUGGAGGCUGCAACCCGCCUCCAUGAAGCCGGAAUUGCUAGUAAUCGCGGAUCAGCAUGCCGCGGUGAAUACGUUCCCGGGCCUUGUACACACCGCCCGUCACACCAUGAGAGCCGGGGGGACCCGAAGUCGGUAGCAUAACCGCAAGGAGUGCGCCGCCGAAGGUAAAACUGGUGAUUGGGGUG
RNAcentral lists this ribosomal RNA (1459 nucleotides) under uncultured Oscillospiraceae bacterium. RNAcentral's name for it is "bacterial SSU rRNA". It matches the Rfam family "Bacterial small subunit ribosomal RNA". The record is from RNAcentral. Lineage: Bacteria; Bacillati; Bacillota; Clostridia; Eubacteriales; Oscillospiraceae.